This 2951-nucleotide long non-coding RNA is filed under the name Anser cygnoides (Swan goose). RNAcentral describes it as "lncRNA (ENSACDG00005004104.1)". Lineage: Eukaryota; Metazoa; Chordata; Aves; Anseriformes; Anatidae. The record is from RNAcentral.
AUGAUGCUGCCUACCUCCUGCACAGACCAGCACCCACCAAGGUGUGCAGGAAUUGUGUUACCAAUGCUGUCUUGUGCUGUGCUGAUGUAUGCUGCUAACACUGCUCUCAGAAAAGUGAUUCCUGAUUUCCAAUGUCUCAGCAUCAAGUGGAGAACUAUUUCUCUUUCACAGGGGCUUGCCUGGAGGCAAAGAGACAAGAACAACACACUCACUACUGGAGACCUGCAUAUUUAUAGCCAGACACUGGCCAAGUCCAGCCGAGUGCACCACUGGUGUCAUCCCGAAUGGAUAGGCAAUGUCCAUCUGCAUGAUACAGCACUACUUGUUCAAGACAAUUCACCAGUAUUUUGGAGAUUUGUUGAGAUGUUCUUGCAAUUUGACUUCUACUCAGAAAAUAACCAAACAUCAUGUAUGAGGGAAUGGAUGGAUGUGUGCCACAUGUCGGAAGAUAUAUAUUUUUUCAAAUGCAGCAUAACGUGAACACUAGAAUUGUUUCCUGGAGAAAAUGUGUGAAAUUCUACAAGGGGGUAAAAACCAAUAGGAAUGUAGCAUUUAAAGGUAUGUUUGCCCUGCACAGAACAGUGUUCUGUAGAGAACCUGGGGUUAACCCCAAGUGAGACCCAGCAGUAUAGGCUAGACCAGGCUUAGCACUUUGAUUGUGCUUCUUCUGAAAUGGCCUUGCUUAUAAGGUAGUUCCAGCUCAUUGUAAUGCUCUGGUAAGGCCCAGAGGCAUACAUGUAGCUACUGAAAAGCAGAGGAAUGGGCACCAAGAGCCACUGAAGCUGCUUUACCAAAAUUCCUUAGAGGAAACCUCUGUACAUACAGUCAAGUUAAACCAUGGUUCAGUUCUCUAAGUACCUUAUUUUUUUUUUUUAAUUAUUUAUUUAUUUUUAAGUGUAUGGGCUGAGAAGAAAAUUGAGAAUGGAGAGGCCGUUCUCCAGUAGAAUGCUGUUUAUAGUCCUUCUUGAGAAGAAAAUGAGACAAUAGAGAAUGAGAAUGAAGGGUGGAGGGUUCUGCCCAACCCUGUUUGACCACUGUUGGGUGUUGUGAGCAUGACAAUAGUGUUAUAUGGCAAGAACACUGAGCAGAUAUUUAUAAGGAACCUCCUUUCUCUGUGAGGAGCAAUAUGGUAAAAAAACUAAGAUGCUUGUUUAUGUAUUGGAGAAGUGCCAGGAGUAAAAGUGAGCUGAGUGGGGGUGGCAAUUGGCCUUCUCACAUUCACACCAUGAGAAAUUAUAGGCAGGGACAGGCUGUGGUGAUUUUGAAUGUGAAAAUAAGAAGACAUUAAAGAGAUUCCUAGAAAAGAUGAUGAAAUCCAAAUAAUGGAUUGGAAAAAUAACCCAAGCAACUGACUACCAGUAGAACUAUAUUUCAUUUAGCAGGGGAAAAGAUAAAAGAAAAAAAAAAAAGGAAAAGAAAAAGAAAACGAAAAACGGAGAUGCAAAAUGAUGAGAGACUGAAAGGAUUUUUUUUAUUAUUAUUUUUUUUCACAGAGAUGUUAGAAAAUCUGUAGCUCGGGAAUACCUUUCAGAUAGUGUGUGUGAAAUAUAUACAUCAUCCAAGCUGCGAGGUUCUAGAAAGCAAUCCAAGGUGAGCUGGGCACUUGAGUUACAUGAGUGGUGGUGGUGGUGCACAGGAUACUAGAGAAAGCACACAGAAGCAAGUUUUGGAAGAAUGGAAAUUGCUGUUUUAUCCAACCUAGGCUGGAAGUGACAACCAGAGAUUUGUGAGAAAGUUUUCAAGAAACAGGCUGAGAUUUUUAUCUGGGAUAGACCUAAUGUAGAAAAGGGUUUCCAUCUGUCUGUCUGGAAUGGAGAGGAAGAUUUGGAAGUUACCUACAUAAAGCAGGGGUUCAACCUGAGUUUAUCAAUACAAUUAUUGAAGUCCUACAAAGUAAAUGAAUGGGGAUUUAGAAUAGAACAUCAUGACGUAUUCACAAAAAAAUCAAGAAUGAACAUGGGAAAAAUUCUCCUUUGAAGGCAAUACAAUGAGAGAAAGCCUCCACAAAUCACAUACAAGGAUAAUGAAGAAGGGAAGGAGUUACAGACAUUCAUCUCAAGCUUUCAGGAGAAUAUGAAAAACGAGGUCAGAGUGAGUCCUGAGGUGGCAAUUUGGGCAGCACUUGAGAGCUGUGGAAGUGCAGAGGGAGCUGAAGCAGGUGCACAGCAAACUGAGACAUUAAACAGAAUAGUGGGGGUGAGAAACUGAAGAAGUGUAUAGGACUAGGGCUGGGUUCUUCAUUUUGUUUUUAAGAUGGAAGAAGCUAAAGUGUGUUUGCCUUUGAGAGAAAAGAGUCAGCUGGGACUGAGAAGUAAAGGCAAAAGGUAAUUCAGGAGCCAAUUUAUCCUAACAUGUCCUCAAAAGAUUCUUUUGAGCUGCUUAGAGCAAACUCUUUGUAGCUUUGGGUUAAAGCCCAGGAGUGCACUUUUUAUCUAGAGGAUCUCUUGAUGACAACUCCAGUGCUGGAAAUGUACAUUCUUUUAAAUGUACAGACAUUUCAGCGAGUGCUAGAAAUUAAAAUCUGUCUGAGACACUGCUCUAUUUACACUGAUGAUGAGUGGUUGCCUGUAGCAAAUUGUUCCAGAUAGCCUCUGGAGACAGAGAUCAGGUAUGGUCAAAGGAAGAUAAAAUGUUUGGCGAGUGUGCAGGCAUACCAGGGGUUCAUAACCUUUCAUAGGGUCUAAACAGUUCCAGCCUUGUGACACACCACGAUCUGCCAGCACCCAGUCCUGCCAAGUGCCAGAAUUAUAUUGUAAAUCUCAUGAAGUCAUGCUUUCCUUAAAGUGUUCCAGUUCAUUCUCUUACAUUAGAAUAUCAGCUUUAAUUAAAAAAAAAAAAAAAAAAAAAAAAAAGCUCUAGUCUACAUAUUCAGAAAAAAAUCUUUAAAAAUAUCCCCUAAAGUCUUCGGAAACAUAAAUAAAAGAAUCACACAUAUAUUACUUUCUAAUACC